This 250-nucleotide ribosomal RNA is filed under the name uncultured bacterium. RNAcentral's name for it is "partial 16S ribosomal RNA". It matches the Rfam family "Bacterial small subunit ribosomal RNA", at positions 524 to 773 of the family's 1533-position model. The record is from RNAcentral.
UACGGAGGGGGCUAGCGUUGUCCGGAUUUAUUGGGUUUAAAGGGUGCGUAGGCGGCCCUGUAAGUCAGUGCUGAAAUAUCCCGGCUUAACCGGGAGGGUAGCAUUGAUACUGCAGGGCUUGAGUACAGAUGAAGUAGGCGGAAUUGACGGUGUAGCGGUGAAAUGCGUAGAUAUCGUCAAGAACACCGAUAGCGAAGGCAGCUUACUAAGCUGUAACUGACGCUGAGGCACGAAAGUGUGGGGAUCAAAC